AAAAACAAAAGAAAAAGAGAGAGAAAGAAAAUAGGGAGAGAGAGUGCCCAAGGGGCUGCCGUAGAUAGCAAUGAAGGAAGAAAGAAGAGAAACUUUCCAUCUAUUGUGCAAAGUAGAAGAAGAAACAUUGCUACGAAAAUCAAGUUUAACGCGAAUGCUCAAAGAAGGACAAAGACAAAGGCAAAGAUAGAGAUUAUAUUUAUAUGGACAUUUAUCUAUUAUGAUAACUUACGUAAAUUGAUGAUGUAAACCUUGUGAGAGAUAUUAAAUGUAUGUAUUAAGAUAAAGGUUGUAGACCUUAGGAAAUAUUGUAGAACUUGUUGUAUGAACAAAUUAUGUUUAUAAUUCCGCACUAGUUUAUAGAAUAUGUAUGAAGAUGAUGUAUCGUGACACACUAGGUCCGAGGUUCAAGGGACCCGAAUUUGGGGGCGCUAUGUGAGACCCCGGAUUUUAUGAAUAAAGAUUUAAUUUUCUCGAAAUAUUUUUUUGAAUAUUAUGGUGUGGAUUUCAGAUAGUGUUAUAGUUGUGGG
Molecule: long non-coding RNA, 530 nt
Filed under: Panax ginseng (ginseng)
Lineage: Eukaryota; Viridiplantae; Streptophyta; Magnoliopsida; Apiales; Araliaceae
Description: long non-coding RNA (PGIN_LNC005643)
Source: RNAcentral